CUCGUCUCCAAAAAGAUCGAGCCCUAUAAGUUUGAGCCCUCACUAUUGUUAGUGAUAAGUUUCACCUCAAUUAAAUAUAAAAAUAGUAAAUAACAUAAGGCUUGGCUCGUCCCAAAAAAUGAGGUUUGGCCUGGGCUUUGGCUGGAGCUGGUUCAUGGACUUUUCGAUUUUUUUAUGGAAAAGUUACAUGUCAACAUGUUUAAAAGUUACAAUUCAUAAAUCAGGUAUGAAGUUUAUUUGUUCAAAUAAUAGGAUUUAAUUAUUCAUAUUAAUAAUAAUAUUAAUAUAAUCUACCCACCCCCAACCCUAAUAUUUCCUCUCUCUUCCUUCUUUGUCUACAUCUCUCUCCCUUCUCUCUUCUUUUUUCUUCUAAAAUAUCAAAUUGUUGUCAGCAACGACUGCAGCAUGACAACAUAGAUCUGCUUGCAGUCGUUCUCAUGUCGUUGUAUUAAGGUGAUGAUGUGCUGCAGUGGUGAGAUGCUGGCGGUGGUGAUGAUUUUGCUUGGGGUGUGGCGGUGGUGGUGUUGAUGCUACUUGUCAUGUUGGAGUCCGACAUGCGAAUCUCAUCAGGGUUGUUGAUUUGAGAUAAGUGGAAAGUGGGUUUAAGAUGGAGUGCGUAGAAAAUCGGGCUCAGUGUGGAGGUAACGCUUGCAUUGUUGAUAUUAAGUUGGUCACUUCCUCGACUGAGGAGAAGUUUUAUGAGUGAUAAGGGUUGGAUGGAGUGCUAGGAGAGAGGUUGUGAUUGAUAGUUCUGGUGGUAGCCUUAAAAGUUUGUGGUGGGAGAUUCUAGUCAUAUGUCUAAUUUUGUGGUGGUUUUGCAAAGAUUUUGUAAUUUUUUGCAAUGGAUUUGGUUAAUUUGUGGUCACAGGGCACAAGUAUUAGGUCAGGGGUCAUAUUUACGAUUGCUAUGGUGUGUGAUGGUCUUGUGGUGGUAGUGAUUUUGUUGGCGAUGAUGUUGUGGCGUUAAUGUGGUUGUG
This 977-nucleotide long non-coding RNA is filed under the name Olea europaea subsp. europaea. The record is from RNAcentral. Lineage: Eukaryota; Viridiplantae; Streptophyta; Magnoliopsida; Lamiales; Oleaceae.